UGCUGGCUCUCUCCCCUGCCAG
This 22-nucleotide microRNA is filed under the name Mus musculus (house mouse). RNAcentral's name for it is "mmu-miR-7087-3p". Lineage: Eukaryota; Metazoa; Chordata; Mammalia; Rodentia; Muridae. The record is from miRBase by way of RNAcentral.